GGUUGUGAUGAGGAUUGCUUCUUCUGACACCUCUUGUAUGAGAAGGGUUCAUUUGAUAGAGGCCCUUCUUUGAGCAGAGUAGCAACACACUGAACU
Molecule: small nucleolar RNA, 96 nt
Organism: Dioscorea cayenensis subsp. rotundata (Guinea yam)
Lineage: Eukaryota; Viridiplantae; Streptophyta; Magnoliopsida; Dioscoreales; Dioscoreaceae
Product: small nucleolar RNA snoR1
Exons: 1
Source: RefSeq, a predicted model, not a curated record